CGACUUUCUUCUCAACAAAAUACAGUAAAUUAUUUUAAAAAGAAAAAUAUGACUACAGCUCAAUACAUCUGUGACGGUGUGUGCACUGCAGUGCUCAGCGGUGUGUCUGAGAUCUGCGAGAUGCUCGUGAACGUCUUCGCAUGUGGAGGAGAAAUACAUGAUCAGGAUGUAGCAGCAGAUCAUUCCGCAGAGUCAGGAGAAGAAGUUGUGAGACUUUCAGUGGAGGAAACUGGACCGGCCGGGACCCAACACUCAGUGCGUCCUUUCUUCUCCACAGAUCCAUGAGACACCUCCUCCGUCAUGACAUGGAUCCCAACCUUGAGGUCACUCCAGUGCCAGUCUUCCACGUGUCCUGCUGUGGUCAUUUCACCAACUUUUGGUGUUAUCAAUUUGGUGUUAUCAUGGCAUGCUUAAUUUUAGCGGAGACGUUAGCCACAGCUUUAUACUCGCUCGCUUCGGUUUUUUACUUGUUGCUCUGUAAUCAUAUUUCUUGCCGUGACUAAUUUAAAAAAAAAUGGCUGAACAGAUCUGUGUUGCUGAUACUCUAUAACGUGUCUUUUUAAUACAUCAAAGAGAAGUAGGGGUUGGCUGCUAUUUUUCUUGGGGAUUGUUUUAAAUAGAUAUAGUGCAUAUACACUCGAAUCAAUAUUACAUUUGAAAUACAAUGUGUAUAAUAGUGUAUUAUAAUAUAUAAUAACAUAAUAGUUUUAUAUUGUUUAACAUUCUAAAUAAUUUUGUACUUACAUAGACAUAUGUUUUGUUUAUUAUUUAUAAUAUUGGAAUAAUGAUUUGGUUAAUUAUUUGUAUACAAUAAUC
This is a long non-coding RNA of Ictalurus punctatus (channel catfish), 816 nucleotides long. The record is from Ensembl. Lineage: Eukaryota; Metazoa; Chordata; Actinopteri; Siluriformes; Ictaluridae.